Molecule: long non-coding RNA, 1491 nt
Organism: Anopheles stephensi (Asian malaria mosquito)
Lineage: Eukaryota; Metazoa; Arthropoda; Insecta; Diptera; Culicidae
Exons: 3
Source: RefSeq, a predicted model, not a curated record
AUCCGCCAACCGCACGCAGGACACGACACGGACCCGACGUGACGUGUGACGCAACCAUUCGAGUCUGAGAAAUAGCCCGGAACGGAUGAGAGACGGCUAUUCGCGCUGCGUGGCGCGCUUGUGGACGUUUUGCUUGUUUUGUUGGCGUUUGUUUUGGGGGAACGAGUAAGCGAGCCAGCUUUAAAUGUGAUAAACCGUAACCCCGAAAAAAAGAAUUCCGUGUCUCAAAAUGUGAAGAACAAUUCCUCGUUCCAUGUGCAGUGCAGUGUGAAGAAAAUUCGCCAGUUCCCCGAACGCCCGUGAUCAUGCCGUAGUCAAUUGUCGUGUGAAGUGUCCUUAAGGUGGUGGUGCCAAGUGCGGGACAUUUCCUACGAAUCACACUUCCGGUGGAAAGGUAAACUUUUCCCAACCGGUCGGGCAGUGCAAAAAGUGAUAACAGGAGAGAGAGUGGGAAGAAAACAGCCAAAAGAAAAAACACACUCAGUGCUCAAAUUAUCAGCCCUGCGUGGGGUUUGUUUAACGGUGUUUGUACAGGCCGGAGAGGGCGAGAGAACCCACCCACCCACCGGGGAAUCGUUUCGCCAAGUGGACGCACACCGUACGGGACGAUGUUUAUCUUUCUGCUGUUUGCCUCGGACGGGUGCCGAAAUGUGUGCCAAAUAUUCUCCCAGCGUCUGGUGGCCCGGCUCCGUAAGCAUCGGCGCAAACGGGACGACGGUGACACCCCAAAGUCACCCCGCUGGACGGCCUGCUUAAGGACGUGGAUCAAGUGUGUCUGUGCCGGGGUCUGUGUUACCGCGCCGCAGCAAACCACAACCACCGGGGAGCGUGUGUGCGUCGAAGAAGCCCGAAUCGUUGGAUGGACUACGGUGGCCAAGCUGCUGUGCCAGAAGCUACUGCACCAGGCGUGAUCAGGUGGAAGCCAAGGACGAACUUUUACACCGGGCGGGGAAGAAGAAGGCGGGCAGGUGGAGUGGCUCAAGCGAAGGAGAAACAACGUGUGGAAUUAUUGGAACAAAACCCUUGCUGGCAGCAAACCGCAACCCGCGGGUUCCCGCAGCGUGGGAGCGAGCGUUUCAAAAUGGCAGUGUUUCGAGGCAAUGAAUGUUACCGGUUCUGCAUUGGAUGGGUGAUUUUACAGACGCGCUUGGAGUGGCGUAUAUGUGUUUAGGGCGAUUCGUGACUGGGGGGAAGGAACACUGAUCCGUAGUAAGCGCUAAACGUCUCGCUUGCUUUUCCUUUUCAUCUUCGUAGUAUGUAACGUGCUCAAACUGUUCUGUCUGUUUCUGAUGUGGCCAAUCUAAACGGAACAAUCUGACCGUUCCGACUCUCCGAAAGUUUAACGUGUAAGUAAGAAUGCAAUACAAAGUUUUGUUUCUUUUCGCUAGUAGCGUAAAAGUGGUUUAAUAGUUUGUAAUAUAAAGUGCGAGAACGGGAGAGAAAAUGAUACAUAAAUGAUGCUAAUAAUACUGUUUCUGAUAGCAUAAUUGA